RNAcentral lists this ribosomal RNA (436 nucleotides) under uncultured bacterium. RNAcentral's name for it is "partial 16S ribosomal RNA". It matches the Rfam family "Bacterial small subunit ribosomal RNA", at positions 29 to 507 of the family's 1533-position model. The record is from RNAcentral.
AACGAACGCUGGCGGCAUGCCUAACACAUGCAAGUCGAACGGGAUCCUGCGGGGACGAGUGGCGCGCGGGUGCGGAACGGGGGGGAAGCUGGCCGUAGGUGCGGAACAACAGUUAGAAAGGACAGCUAGUAGCGGAAGAUGACGUAAAGUCCAAUAAUAUAUCGCCCGAGGAUGAGGCCGCGUAGGAGAAGCUAGAUGGUGUGGGAAAGGGGGACCAAGGCGACGAUCCUUAGCCGGUCAGUGAGGAAGAGCCCCCACACCUGGACUGGGACACGGCCCAGACUCCUCCGGGAGGCAGCAGUGGGGGAUAUUGCAACAUGGGGGGAAGCCUGAACCCCCCACGCCGCGUGAGUGAUUAAGGCUUUAAGGAUGUAAAGCCCUUUUACCCGGGAUGAUAAUGACAGUACCUGGAGAAUAAGCCCCGGCUAACUCCGUG